ACGGGAGGCAGCAGUAAGGAAUCUUGCACAAUGGGGGAAACCCUGAUGCAGCAACGCCGCGUGAGUGAAGAAGGUCUUCGGAUUGUAAAACUCUGAUCUUGGGGAAGAAGAAAGUGACGGUACCCAAGGAGAAAGCCCCGGCUAACUACGUGCCAGCAGCCGCGGUAAUACGUAGGGGGCAAGCGUUAUCCGGAAUUAUUGGGCGUAAAGAGUGCGUAGGUGGUUACCUAAGCGGAAGGUUUAAACUUGAGGCUUAACCUCAUGGUGCCUUUCGAACUGGGCUACUUGAGUGCAGGAGGGGAAAGCGGAAUUCCUAGUGUAGCGGUGAAAUGCGUAGAUAUUAGGAAGAACACCAGAGGCGAAGGCGGCUUUCUGGACUGUAACUGACACUGAGGCACGAAAGCGUGGGGAGCAAACAGGAUUAGAUACCCUGGUA
This 436-nucleotide ribosomal RNA is filed under the name uncultured Mogibacterium sp. Its description in RNAcentral is "partial 16S ribosomal RNA". It matches the Rfam family "Bacterial small subunit ribosomal RNA", at positions 341 to 792 of the family's 1533-position model. Lineage: Bacteria; Bacillati; Bacillota; Clostridia; Peptostreptococcales; Anaerovoracaceae. The record is from RNAcentral.